Molecule: long non-coding RNA, 564 nt
Organism: Rhipicephalus sanguineus (brown dog tick)
Lineage: Eukaryota; Metazoa; Arthropoda; Arachnida; Ixodida; Ixodidae
Exons: 4
Source: RefSeq, a predicted model, not a curated record
GACGCUGUGGCCUGCACUUGAACUGUUGGUUUAUAUAUACUUCAAGGCUACCAAAUUCUGUAGCUAGUGACGUUGGGAAGCGAUUGCGAUGCUCUGCAUGGCACCACGGCGCGCUUGUUUCCACAGCAGGGUAGUACCCAUCUUGCAGGUAGACAUUUAAUAUACGGACAGCUGCGGCGAAAAUACGAGGAUAUUGCCACAGUCACACCAAACCCCGUGGCGUGAAGUUCCACUGUUCCAGAGCCUGGUAACGGGAUCCGGUGGCCAGUAUAGAACUCAGCAGAAAUUUCACCGCUAUACAGUCGCUCAUGGCCAGAUGUUCAUCUUUUCCAGAGGGUCCUGACGCAGACAAUCACGAAUACAUGGUGCAACAGUUCGAAGCGAUGCAGAAUCGGCUUCGUUCCAAUCGCUCACCAUCGGAUACCGAGGAGGAGGAUUCUGAUUCGAAUAUUCAUCCGGUGUGCGACGCAGAAAUUGCGUUUGAAUUCGUCAACGAUAAGUUGGAGGAAGAGUUGAUUAAAAGGGCUCGCUCCCAUCGCCAGCCAUCUGCAACCAGCGAGAAGA